RNAcentral lists this ribosomal RNA (393 nucleotides) under uncultured bacterium. RNAcentral describes it as "partial 16S ribosomal RNA". It matches the Rfam family "Bacterial small subunit ribosomal RNA", at positions 523 to 918 of the family's 1533-position model. The record is from RNAcentral.
AUACGGAGGAUCCGAGCGUUAUCCGGAUUUAUUGGGUUUAAAGGGAGCGUAGGUGGAUUGUUAAGUCAGUUGUGAAAGUUUGCGGCUCAACCGUAAAAUUGCAGUUGAAACUGGCAGUCUUGAGUACAGUAGAGGUGGGCGGAAUUCGUGGUGUAGCGGUGAAAUGCUUAGAUAUCACGAAGAACUCCGAUUGCGAAGGCAGCUCACUAGACUGUUACUGACACUGAUGCUCGAAAGUGUGGGUAUCAAACAGGAUUAGAUACCCUGGUAGUCCACACAGUAAACGAUGAAUACUCGCUGUGUGCGAUAUACAGUAAGCGGCCAAGCGAAAGCAUUAAGUAUUCCACCUGGGGAGUACGCCGGCAACGGUGAAACUCAAAGGAAUUGACGGGG